GCCGCCGCGGCUACCGCCGCCCGGGCAGCUUCCUACGCUGCUCCGCGCCGCCCAGCUGCGCCGUGUCCUGCCCUGCCCUGCGCGGGAGGCAGCGACGUGUCGCCGCGGAGGCGCCGCGCCAGGCCGGCCGCCCGCCCGGCACCGCAGGUCACGGACACGCUGUCCCCCAGCUCUGAGACCGGGCAGUUCUCCGUAUGAUGCGACAGGGAGAGAUAUGACGACGGCCUCCUUGAGAUACUCCCGGCGUGUUCUCGCUGAGCUUUUAUCAAGUGGUGGUUUUAUGCAAUGGCAUCAAGCCACAGUUCUUCACCAGUGCCUCAGUCAAACAGCAGUGAUGCUUUCUUUAAAAAAGAAAUGGAUGCCACGAAACGAUUUCGACCUGUGCAGUCACUGCCUGAUGUGUGUCCCAAGGAACCUACAGGCGAUCCCAAUAAUUUAUGUGACAGCCCAUCUCUAGUUGUGGAUCAGCACAGAUGGACUAUUUAUCAUUCCAAAGUCAAUCUCCCAGCAGCACUAAAUGAUCCUAGGUUAGCAAAAAGGGAAUCUGAUUUCUUUACAAAAACAUGGGGAGUGGACUUUGUGGACUCUGAAGUCACGCCUUCAUUCUACCUCCCACAGAUCACCAAGGAACAUUUUGCAUUAUACCAACAGGAAAUCACUCCGAGAGAAAAAACACAUGAAAGGUGCAAGAAUAUUUGUACUCCUAAAGACACUUUCGACAGGACUUUAUUAUACACCCAUGAUAAAUCCAGGACAGAUCUGGAGCAAGUACCUAAGAUUUUUAUGAAACCAGAUUUUGCCUUGGAAGAUUCCUUAACAUUUAAUGCCGUUUUACCAUGGUCUCAUUUUAGUACUGCUGGUGGAAAAGGAAAUCGUGAUGCAGCUUCUUCCAGGUUACUUCAAGAAAAGCUGAGCCAUUAUCUGGACAUUGUGGAAGUCAAUAUUGCUCAUCAGAUUUCACUGCGCUCAGAAGCAUUUUUUCAUGCAAUGACCUCUCAGCAUGAGUUGCAGGACUACCUCAGGAAAACCUCCCAGGCUGUAAAAUUACUUAGAGAGAGAAUCUCCAAAAUUGAUAAAGUAAUGUGUGAAGGAUCGCUUCGAGUUUUAAGACUGUCACUAACCAGAAAUAACUGUAUAAAAGCAUACAAUAAGCUGAAGUUAAUGGCUACUGUACACCAAACACAGCCCACGGUGCAGUUGCUGUUAUCAACCUCUGAGUUUGUUGGGGCUUUGGACUUAAUAGCAACAACACAGGAAGUGUUACAGCAAGAGCUUCAAGGCAUUCACAGUUUCCGGCAUCUCGGCUCACAGCUUUGUGAACUGGAAAAGCUGAUAGAUAAAAUGAUGAUUGCAGAGUUUUCAACUUACGCUCGCAAUGAUUUAAAUAGACCCCUAGAAGAUGAUUGCCACAUUCUAGAAGAGGAAAGACUGGUGUCACUAGUAUUUGGACUUUUAAAACAAAGAAAGCUAAAUUUUUAUGAAAUAUAUGGAGAUGAAAUGAUUAUUACUGCAAAGAAUAUAAUUAAACAGUGUGUGGUUAAUACGGUAUCGCAGAUAGAAGAAAUAGAUACAGAAGUGGUUGUUAAACUUGCAGACCAGAUGAGGAUGAUGAAUUUUCCUCAGUGGUUUGAUUUACUGAAGACUAUUUUUUCCAAGUUUACUAUCUUCCUGAAGAGAAUAAAGGCAACGUUAAAUACUAUCCGUAGCGUGGUUUUCUUGGUUCUAGACAAGAACCAAAAAACCAGAGACCUGGAGGACACCUUACAAAAGAACUCUGCUAAAGACAGCACGGUGGACACGGAGGUGGCUUACCUGACUCACGAAGGCAUGUUCAUAAGCGACGCGUUCAGCGAAGGCGACGUCCCGCCCGCAGCGGCUGACACUACCUCUCAAAGAAACACUUCCCCCAACAGCGAGCCCUGUAGCAGCGAUUCGGUCUCUGAACCAGAGUGCACUACUGAUUCCUCAUCCAGCAAAGAGCAAACCUCAUCUUCUGUUACUCCAGGGGGAGUAGAGAUGAUGAUCAGUGAUGACAUGAAGCUGACUGACCUGGAACUGGUCAGGCUGGCAAACAAUAUUCAAGAGUUACUUUAUAAUGCCUCUGAUAUCUGCCAUGAUCGUUCUGUCAAGUUCCUCAUGAUAAGAGCAAAGGAUGGCUUCUUAGAGAAGCUGAAUUCCAAUGAGUUUGUUGCUCUCUCUCGCUUGAUGGAAGGCUUUAUCUUAGAUACUGAGCAGAUCUGUGGCAGAAAAAGUAUGUCCUUACGGGGGGCACUUCAGAGUCAAGCCAACAGAUUUGUGAACAGAUUCCAUGAGGAGAGGAAGACAAAACUAAGCCUGCUUUUGGACAACGAGCGCUGGAAGCAAGCUGAAGUUCCUGCCGAGUUUCAGGAUCUUGUCGAUUCGGUGUCAGAUGGCAGAAUUUCUCUCCCUGAAAAGAAACAAGCAGCUACUGAAGAAAGAAAGCCAACCGAAUUUCUUACCGUUGAAGGACAAAAAUAUGCAACAGUUGGGACAGUAUUGCUAUUAAUAAGAAUAAUCCUUGAGUACUGCCAGUGUGUGGAUAACAUUCCUUCCAUCACCACUGACAUGCUUACCCGCCUGUCUGAUUUACUGAAGUAUUUUAACUCUAGAAGCUGCCAACUCGUGCUCGGAGCUGGUGCGUUACAAGUUGUGGGUUUGAAAACAAUCACUACGAAAAACCUAGCCCUUUCUUCACGUUGCCUACAGCUAAUCGUACACUACAUUCCUAUUAUCAGGGCUCAUUUUGAAGCUCGUCUGCAGCCAAAGCAGUUCAGCAUGCUCAGGCAUUUUGACCACAUUACAAAGGAUUAUAACGACCACAUAGCUGAAAUUUCAGCAAAGCUCGUGGCCAUCAUGGAUAGCUUGUUUGACAAACUGUUAUCCAAGUAUGAAGUGAAAGCUCCUGUUCCUUCAGCAUGCUUCAGGAAUAUCUGCAAGCAAAUGGCAAAGAUGCAUGAAGCUAUAUAUGAUCUCCUUCCUGAAGAGCAAACUCAGACGCUGUUCCUCCGAAUUAAUGCAAGUUACAAACUCCACCUGAAGAGGCAGCUGGUCCACCUCAACGUGGUCAAUGAUGGAGGGCCUCUCAAUGGACUGGUCACUUCAGACGUAGCUUUUUACACUGGAAACCUUCAAGCUCUGAAAGGCCUUAACAACUUAGACCUAAACAUGGCUGAAAUUUGGGAGCAGAAGAGGUGAUGAGCCAGCGGGAGCAGUGACUUGGCUCUGAGCAGAGACCGACUUCCUUCUGAGCAGCAGGACGCAUGUGAGGUUUUAAACAUGUACUAUUGGAAAUACUGUAAUUACAAGCACACUAGACACUAUCAGCUUACAAGAAGAGCGGAUGCCUUCUUUGAAGACACAGGCUUGCAGUAAGUGCUUUUUCUACUUCUGCUUGCUUUGAGGUGGAAAAAAUGUUCCCCCAUCUGUCCUCCUUACAGCUGUAAGGCAAAUAGGAACAGAAGGAGCAGGGCAGGACACAAGUGUGUGAGCAGGCACUCUGGUAACAGCCCUGUGGGCACAGCCCCAGCUCACACAGCUCCAUGGUGGCAGCUAUCUUGCCCCUGGACUGUUAGAGGGCCAUGACAGUGUUCUGCUGGGAGCAGCCAGAUCCUGAGAGAGAAAAUAACUUCCUCAGCUUUGACAUUGCUAAUAAAUCAAGAACCUCAAACAGAUGAGAAGGGGCCUGUGGCUGUGGCUAGCCUGGGAGGCACCUUGCAGAGGUAAAGGACAAAGCCAUAAGCAUUUAGAAUGCAGAACAAUGAGAUCUGCAGUGUUUUUGAGGUUGAUAGACUAACCUUAUCUCUAGGACUAUAGAAAGCAGCAGCUGCACUGUUAACUCCUGCAUCCCCUUCACAAGGGUUGCUGUUUGGUUUUUGCUGCUGCAAUGUGUUACUGAAUUCCCAGGAGUGCCUCCAGGGACAGGUACCAGGGAGCAGAGAUCCAUCACCCUUAGGGCAGCGGCAUCCCCGUGACACACUCACCUUUAAUGAAACAUUCUUCCCAAACGUAACGUCACCUGAAACUGUGAGAUGAUCCAGCUCCAGCAUGUCUGGAAUACUUUCAAAUCUCCGCAGGUAAUCCUGAACCUUUUGGAGAGAGGAAAGAAGACAGACAGAUUAAAAACCCAUUUGUGGAUUAAGACAAGUGUAGGAGCUUCUUGAAAACUCCUUUCAGGUACCUUUCCAGAACCUACAUCUGACUUCAUCUAAGAAUUACUACUUUGAAAGCAAUGCAGUUGUCAUCUCUGUCAGUGGUUACUACAAGCAGCAGCAAGAGCAGGAUCCCACCAAAGCUGGGUGGGCUCUGGAGAGUACAGACAACCCCCUGCACCUUCCCUUUCACCAACAGACAAGGUGAAGGGGCACCCACCAGCAGUAUGGCAUCAGGCACACCGGUCAGGUGGCUGGUACUCCAACAGCCUGGCGCUUCUUUACAAAUGGCAUAAAGGGGAAUGCCCAGAUGGGCAGAGGUAGACACAGUAAACUUCACUUGUAACUUGUUGCUUCAGACUGUCUUUUGAGUAAAAAGGAAAAGAAGAGUAUAAUUAUAGGAGUUUACCUUUGUGAAAGAACUUCCCAGCUUGACAAGAGGCACUGUGGGAAACUCCCGCUUCUCGCUCAUGGUCAGAGAGCCGGCGUUGAGGCUGUACAGGUUGGACAUCACCAGCAGGAGAUCUGACGUGGUCUUCACAGGCAGAAAACGACUCCGAGGCACGUUUAUCCCCAGAGAGUUCUCAAAACUCUUAAUAGCAGCACCAACCGCGGUCUCCAACUGGAUAACGUUCAAGCCUCCAUCCAGAGUCUGGAAGAGAAAAUUCAGCCUUUUAAUGGCAGACAGGGCAAUCCACAAAUUGUUGGUGUUGAAGAUUUUGAACUUUGAGACGGACUUGAACUCAUCCACGUGUGCUCUGGGAACCUGAGCUAUCUCCACCAGCCUCAGCUUGUUUUCGUACUGCGUAAGCGUCCCACCCUGCAAGGGGCAAAGAAGAAGUUCUUAGUCCUGUUCACAAGAUGCCAGAGAAACCUUCCCCUCACCCCAAAACCAACCACCUGCUUUGUUGGCAUUUCAAGAUGAACCUCAGUGAAAAGGUGGCCCUCACGUUCAGCUACAGGUUACUAGUUACAGGCUAUGUUUAAAGUACAGUCAGAACUCCCAACAAUCACAUUUCAGCAUUCUAGACAGUUAAUUCUUUAUAAAUAAAACAAGUCUCAACAAUUUCCAUUAAGUGCUGCAAAUCUAAAAGUUGUAUUUGUGGCAUUUAUGGGAGAAACAGUCCAUCAGUAACUUGAGCUGCAUUCUGAGUGUGCAUUUCUGUGGGUGUGCAGGGCUAAGUCACAGCUUGUUGACUGUCUAAUGAAUACAGAGAUCACAUCUGCCCCUCCUCACGUUUAAAAGAAUAUAGAGGCAAAGUCCAGUGACGGGACAAAUGCCCGUGGGAAGCAUUUGAUAUGUACCAUAAACACACGAGGUGUUGUUAAACACAGACUUUGUGCUAAGUCAGGCGGUUGGGGCAGGGGCAGAGCAGCAGCCAGGCCGAGCUGGGGUGUGUAACACCCGCUGUGCAACUGCUGUAACCAUCCCCAGACCUCUCCCCUCGGUAAGGGAUGGAGGUUGUGACCUGCAGCUAUCACUCGUGCUUUCAGUCAUCAGUCAAGCCCUGGCUGGCCUCAUCUGCUGCCACCCAGAACCUUGAGCCAAUUUGUUCCAUGAAUUGGAACUUCAUAAACUUGCUGAUUUUGUGCAUCUCAAAUUAGAUCACAGCUGAUGUGUUAAACGGUGCCUGAAAUAGCUGUAAGAAGCCUGGAUGUAUGUCUGAAUUCAUGCAUAGAGAAGAGGCUGAGCUUUUCACCCUCACACCACGCGCUCGGACAGACUCCCACAACCCUUUCCCUUUACCUUCACAUCCGCCCGGGUUUUGUUUGUGACUUCCAUGACGAAUUCACAGCGUUUUCCAUUGGGUGGGUUCAUAAGAUGAUUGAGUAUGUAAAGGUCCACAGUGGCACCCAAGUUAUCUAUAUUGGAUACAAAAAUAUAUUCCUUCCCCUCGGCAAUGAGGUUAUCCAGCAGACCCGAGUUAUAGAAACUGGCGUAGAUGUCCCCGUGGCCUGGGGGGUACCAGCACUCCGUGUUCUCUCCUGAGUAAGACACGUCCUUGGCUAUGGGCAGCAGCGUUUCCUUGUUGAUUCUAGGAUACCUGGGAAGACAAUGGGCUUUGUUAAGUUCUCUACAACAGAAAUCAACCCCAAAAUAUAAUAGUAAAGGUGCGACUACACAGGCUUUUUCAUCCAGCUCUUGAGGGUAAGCCCUCCGGAUUAGUGUAAGUCCUCUGAAUUGAAUACUGAGCCGUCACUGAGGAGCUGCAGAGGGCAGGUCUCUCAUUCAAGGAUUUAAAGCCACAUCUCUCCAGGCACACUGUGCAACAGGUUUCCUCUGGCACACAGGUUCAGGGCUAAGGAAGCCGUGUUCUGUCCCCCUCCAGAACCCAGCUGUCCUAGCAGCAAAUGCAGGAGCCAAGGGCCAGCACCCAGCACACCACCGCUACUCACUGCUACAGCAGACACUAUUGCCACCCCAGCAUCUCCAGUGAAAAACCCCCCACCACCUGGCAUCUGGAGAAACGCAGCCGGUUUGUUCUUUCCCUUUCACCCCAAGCAGAGAAGUUU
This is an RNA transcript of Colius striatus (speckled mousebird), 6683 nucleotides long. It is a transcript of the gene named VPS54 subunit of GARP complex, with no coding region annotated. The record is from RefSeq and is a predicted model, not a curated record. NCBI's taxonomy places the organism in Eukaryota, Metazoa, Chordata, Aves, Coliiformes, Coliidae. The transcript is spliced from 26 exons.